This 358-nucleotide long non-coding RNA is filed under the name Lepisosteus oculatus (spotted gar). Its description in RNAcentral is "lncRNA (ENSLOCG00000021544.1)". Lineage: Eukaryota; Metazoa; Chordata; Actinopteri; Semionotiformes; Lepisosteidae. The record is from RNAcentral.
AGAAAACUAAAACCAUGGAAAAGCAUCUUACUACUGCUACCGCUUGCAGCUGCUGUUAACGCAAUUGCUACAGCCUACUCCUCCCCUAUAAGGGAGUGUGGCCUAACACAUCAUGUUCUACAGACAAGAGGAAAUUGGCAUUUAAAGCAGCACGUGCCCGUAUCCAUUUGCCUGCAAGGUCCAUCAGUCCCUCUGCAGUCAGUGGGGCAGGUCAUGACCCGAUCAGCCUGUCAGCCUGACCUUACACUUCAGAGUUCACAGUGCAGAGAGUUCUCUCAAUGACCAAGAGUGGACAGAAGGAUGCUGCCAUUGAGCAUUUCAACAUGCUCCCUCCCUUUCUUCAUGCCUUCUGUUUUUG